GACGAACGCUGGCGGCGUGCCUAACACAUGCAAGUCGAACGAGGUCCAAGGGAGCUUACUCCCUGAAGACCUAGUGGCGAACGGGUGAGUAACACGUGAGAAACCUACCCUCGAGUGGGGAAUAACAAGGGGAAACCCGGGCUAAUACCGCAUACGCCCCUCUGGUCGCAUGGCCGGCGGAGGAAAGUUUUUCGCUCAAGGAGGGGCUCGCGGCCUAUCAGCUUGUUGGCGGGGUAACGGCCCACCAAGGCUACGACGGGUAGCUGGUUUGAGAGAACGAUCAGCCACACUGGGACUGAGACACGGCCCAGACUCCUACGGGAGGCAGCAGUGGGGAAUCUUGCGCAAUGGGCGAAAGCCUGACGCAGCAACGCCGCGUGCGGGAUGACGGCCUUCGUGGUUGUAAACCGCUUUCAGCAGGGACGAAAAUGACGGUACCUGCAGAAGAAGCUCCGGCUAACUACGUGCCAGCCGCCGCGAAAA
This 483-nucleotide ribosomal RNA is filed under the name uncultured bacterium. RNAcentral's name for it is "partial 16S ribosomal RNA". It matches the Rfam family "Bacterial small subunit ribosomal RNA", at positions 28 to 523 of the family's 1533-position model. The record is from RNAcentral.